Molecule: ribosomal RNA, 463 nt
Filed under: uncultured bacterium
Lineage: Bacteria
Description: bacterial SSU rRNA
Rfam family: Bacterial small subunit ribosomal RNA
Source: RNAcentral
CCAGACUCCUACGGGAGGCAGCAGUGAGGAAUAUUGGUCAAUGGCCGAGAGGCUGAACCAGCCAAGUCGCGUGAGGGAAGACGGCCCUACGGGUUGUAAACCUCUUUUGUCGGGGAGCAAAGCGAGUCACGUGUGACUCAUUGAGAGUACCCGAAGAAAAAGCAUCGGCUAACUCCGUGCCAGCAGCCGCGGUAAUACGGAGGAUGCGAGCGUUAUCCGGAUUUAUUGGGUUUAAAGGGUGCGUAGGCGGGCUGUUAAGUCAGCGGUCAAAUGUCGGGGCUCAACCCCGGCCUGCCGUUGAAACUGGCGGCCUCGAGUGGGCGAGAAGUAUGCGGAAUGCGUGGUGUAGCGGUGAAAUGCAUAGAUAUCACGCAGAACUCCGAUUGCGAAGGCAGCAUACCGGCGCCCGACUGACGCUGAGGCACGAAAGCGUGGGUAUCGAACAGGAUUAGAUACCCGUGUA